Molecule: long non-coding RNA, 1462 nt
Filed under: Danio rerio (zebrafish)
Lineage: Eukaryota; Metazoa; Chordata; Actinopteri; Cypriniformes; Danionidae
Description: si:dkey-286h2.8 (ENSDARG00000105703.2)
Source: RNAcentral
GGGCGUCAGCUUCAACGCUUCCCAUUAACUUUGAAUGGGUGACGUCAGGCGUUGCCGAACUGCAUUGUGGAUCUGUUGGCGCCGCUUCAGAGGCGUUGCUCGCUGCAGAAGUUGGGACUUGCUCAACUUUUUAAGCUUUUCUCCCCUCACUUAAAAGUGAACUACCACUUCUUUGAAUGGAUAACAGUUUUGCAUAGUAAACUAGCUAUUGACUCCCUCUUGAGUUCACUUGAUUUAAUUAUGUCUGUUUCAAAGGCAAUUUUGAAAGUCUUUUCAAAUGAUUUGCUUUAAAAUGUGCAAUAUGUAAUUUUCUGCAGAAACAAUUUUUGUUUUCUGUAAAAACGAUUUUUGUUAUGCUGGUUGAAAGUUGAAAGUCUCUGACAUCAUGAUAGCAAUCAUUAAAUUAAGUGGGCAAAUGCAUUUAAAAUGCAUUUUAAUAUCCUGUGUAAUGUGUAGGACCAAGAAAAUGUCCUAUUUGAAACGUUAGGUCCAAACUUAAGGAUAGGCUGUCCUACCUGCCUGUCAAAAUAUGCAGUUGCAUACAUCUGUCCACUUUUCAUUUAGAAUGUAUUGUCAUCUACAGUACGCGUUUACAGAUGCAUUUUAGACAGCCAGGCUAACCGCAAUAACUUACUUUCAUUUUUAAGUUUGCUAUUGUAAUUACCAACUGUAAUAUAAAGUUUACUCUGGUCAAUGUGAUGUGAUGUAGUGAUUUGUUUAGGAAGAGUGGCUUAGUGUACGAUAUGCAGGGUGGGAAGUAGGUUUUCAGUGCUAUCAGGCUAAAGUUAGUAUUUUCCAACAACUCCUAUUGCACCUUUUUUUUACUUUUUUGAAUUGUGAAAUUCCAUGACUUCUGUCUCAAUUUACGACUCAAGUUUUUAGCAAGAUCAAAUUUUUAGCAUAUUGUUUUGGAACGUGAUCCAUCUGUGAUCUCAAGUUUUCAAUGAUAUUAACAAAUAAAUGUGCAUGAUUGGCAGAGCUUUCAAACCUUCGUUUUAAACAACUCAAUUUUGCUUGAGUUGGAUGGUACAGAUGAGAGAGUUAGAGAUCAUAUGAUACUGCAACAUAUUAGAUUUUAUUUUUCUAAUAAUUUUGCAUAAUCACAUUAACAACAAAAUAUCUACAUUAAAGAAAAUAUUUUUUAUCUUUCAAUUAUAAAUAUAUAUUAUAUUUCAUAUUAUAUUUAUAUAUUUGUGGAUAUAAUUAUUCAAUUGUCAAUAUAAUUGUUCAUGUUUUUUGUAAAACAUAUUUAUUUUUAUUUAAUUCAUUGACAUAUUAAUCUAAAUGACUGUAUUUUUCCAAUCAAAGAAAUACGGCAAGUAAAAUAAAUUAUUUCCACCUUCGAAAUAUAAAUCGUUUACAUCCUUCCCUCACACCUCAUUCAGCUGCCAUUCUUGUUCAUAGUUUAGUCACAUCCUGUUUAGAUUACUGUAAUUCCCUUCUGUUUGGCCUCCUUAAAAAA